GGGAGGGGUACCGGAGGGAUGUGCCUAUAUUGGUUACCAGUUCCUUCACGCUUGAUUGCGAGAUUGGACACGAUACUUCGUGCGUCAGUAGGAAACGGAACCUGUGACACAACCGAGCUGAUGAGAACAAUCUAUCAAAGUGCUGCUUGUGGACGUCAUUGAUUUGGUUGAAAACAGAUUAACUUGUUCUUGGUGUAGAGUUGAACCCCCAUCUUGAAGAUUACGACACGAAAAGGUUGCGAUUCGGCGCCGUGUCAAGAAGUGUUUCGCGACAACUGUAUGUACUUGUACAGAACAUAUUUCACGGUUAGUGAUCUUUGAAGUCUGUGUGGCUGUGAACGAUUUUCUCACGGAACAUUUUUCUCCUCUUUUCAUCUCUUGGUAGCUGCAGGAUCGUGCUUUUAUUUUUAAGAAUUACUGAAGCUUUGAGAAAAGAAGUAACUAAAAGUCUUUUUUUGGUCUGGUAUUUGUUCCUAUGGGUUGUGGCUCCUCAACGGCAACUAGAACAGCUGGACAGCCAGCUCCCAAAUUAAAGAGAAUUAACGAAGAGGAAGAAAAUGCUAGCCAGUCAUCUUCUAGACAAAAGUUAUCGUCACGUCCUGUUACAGAGAGCAAUGGACAUGCAGGGAGGAUUAGAGAGAACGAGGAAAGUGGUGAGUUUAUCUGCUGUCAAGUUGUAGCUGAUUAACUGAGAAGUGUAGCUUCCGGAAAACCUUAAGGAAGAGUCUUUAAUAUCGACUUAAUCACGACUUUAAUGUUCACAGUUCUCGAAUCUGAUUGGACACCAGUAGACCCUGGAUUAUUGAUUGACUGAUU
This is a long non-coding RNA of Orbicella faveolata, 816 nucleotides long. The record is from RefSeq and is a predicted model, not a curated record. NCBI's taxonomy places the organism in Eukaryota, Metazoa, Cnidaria, Anthozoa, Scleractinia, Merulinidae.